RNAcentral lists this long non-coding RNA (452 nucleotides) under Salmo salar (Atlantic salmon). RNAcentral describes it as "lncRNA (ENSSSAG00000108186.1, ENSSSAG00075062191.1)". The record is from RNAcentral. Lineage: Eukaryota; Metazoa; Chordata; Actinopteri; Salmoniformes; Salmonidae.
GUUCGUUUUGAAGCAUGUUCUGUCAACUGCGGGACCUUAUAUAGACAGAUGUGUUCCUUCUCCCGAGUGGUGCAGUGGUCUAAGGCACUGUAUCUCAGUGCAAGAGAAGUCACUACAGUACCUGGUUCAAAUCCAGACUGCGUCACAUCCGGCUGUGAUUGGGAGUCCCAUAAGGCGGUGCACAAUUGGCCCAGCGUCGCCAGGGUGGACUCCAAUCAAGUUGUAGAAACAUCUCAAGGAUGAUUGAUGGAAACAGGAUUACCUGGGCUCAAUUUCAAGUCUCAUAGCAAGGGGUCUGAGUACUUACGUAAAUAAGGAUGACAGUGUGGAGUGUGGAUGAGACCAUGGUUAAAAUCACAGAGGCUGUGUAAGAAUGAGCUGGAGGCGUUAUUUGUUCCAUGCUCAGAAGCUCUGCAGAAACCUGUACUGCGCAAACACAGUCGCGAGUGGCC